RNAcentral lists this transfer RNA (72 nucleotides) under Marmota monax (woodchuck). RNAcentral describes it as "tRNA.Val". The stretch from base 7 to 67 matches the Rfam family "tRNA", at positions 6 to 65 of the family's 71-position model. From Rfam's summary of the family: Transfer RNA (tRNA) molecules are approximately 80 nucleotides in length. The record is from RNAcentral. Lineage: Eukaryota; Metazoa; Chordata; Mammalia; Rodentia; Sciuridae.
GUAGGAUGUGGCUCAAUGGUAGAGUGCAUGCCUUACAUGUGUAAAGCACUGGGUUCGAUCCUCAGCACCACA